UUUAUCUCUACAUUUGCAAAAUUCUACGUGUCAUUCUCAAAUUCUCCCUCUCAGAUUUCCUAUUCUCACUUUUGUUCAAGAUAGCAAAACUCUUCACCUUUCUCUCAACCAAAAUGCCUCUACCUUUUAUCAAGAACAUCAAGAAAUUCAUCCUACCUUUAUCUUCCAAAUCCAUAAUCAAUCACACAUACAACACAAAAUACCAAGAACUUCAAACAUUUUUUCCAAAAAAUCAAGAAGCUCUUAAAAAGUUAAUCCAAAACUCAUAUUUUGUUCAACCUUCAGCACUCCAAAUACAUAACCCAUAACCUUCUCCAAAAACGCAUCCAAAUCACAGAGUUUGUUAAACGGUCAUCUCACCUCCAUCGCUCAAAAAACAUAGCCCAAAAAUUCAUCAACAAUCUUCUUAUCCAUCAUUCACAGAACAAUGAAACAAUCCCUUAUUUCAAUCACCUCUCUAAUCAACAAUAAAUUUUCAGAAAACCCAGUAAACCCAGUACUUAUUUAUACAUCCAUAUCUUCUUCAUCUUCUCAACCACCUAAAUCUGCAAAACUCAUCCACCCUUACCCAGAAACUCAUCAAAACUACUUCUCUAAAUACAUCAAAACCAAUCAAAAUCCUUUUUUUCUCCGAUCUUCCUUCUUCUCAAAACCAACCUUCUCAGAAAACCCUAAAUUUGCAGAAAACCCUAAACUCUCAACAUAGACAAAACUUAAUCAUCUCUGUUUUAUAUUUUUAAAAUCCUGUUUUAUAUUUUUAAACGCAAAGACAAAUCUUAACACAUAAAGUUUGAAGAUGACUGAAAUAGAAACAGAGGUUGAAGAGGACUGAGAUAGAAGAAAGAGAGGUUGAGGUAGAAAAAAUAGAGGUUGAGUUUGAGGAAAGCAAAUUGUAGUUGUUAUUAUUAGGUUACAACAUGUUUUGAGGUAGAAGAAGAGAGAGAGGGAAGUCUGAAUAUAGCUUUAGUAGGGGAAGAAAAAAUAGCCUUUUGAAAGAAAUGUUUUUUUAAUCUCAAAAGUAGCAGCAUGCAUUAGAAGAUUGGAAUGUUGGAAGAGUUUAAAGCUGAAGCUGGUAGCAGAAUAUCCCACGUGGCAUCACAAAAUAGCAGCAGGGGCAAUUUGCAACUUUCCAGACCAUCUUAUUUUCUUAUAUUGUAGAUGAGAUAGUAUCAUUAUCUUCUUUUCAUUCCUAGUGCAUUCGAGAAAGAACUUCUUGGUUUUAAAGAUUUUUUCUCUAUACACGUGGCAAGAGACUAACAUAGCCACAUGUAAAUAACAAACACCUCUCCAGGAAAUUCCAGAAAAUCCCUCAUAACUCUUCUUCUUACUACUUAGUACUACUAAUAUCCUUUGUUUCUUCAAUACUCCAACCAAUCCAAAAGACAACAAACCAGAAAACAACAACAUUAUGAUGCAUCUAAAACUAGCAGCAAAUGUAACAAGAAAAUCAUGCCUAACCUUCUCUUCAGCAUGUCUGAAACGUGGAUUCUCCACUCGUAGCCACACCGCUGACCCAGAUAUUCAUUCUGGACAACAAAAACCCGGUUACACCAAUUCCAGAAUUUCACCUCAAGGUACAAGUAGAGGUGAUACUGACACAAAUCCAAAGUUUACUGAAACAGAAAAAGGAGAAGGAGUUUUUCACCGUCUCCAUCGAGCAGCCGUUAUGCUUCGGCUGUAGGAUUGAACGAACUCGUGUCGAGUGACGAGGAGAAUGAUAGGCCAGACAUGAUUAAAGAGGAGUGCGAUGAAAAUGGGGACGAGAAGAUUGAUUCUAAAGCUGAAGAUUUUAUUGCUCAAUUUUAUCAUCAAAUGAGAUUGCAACGUUUCAAUAAUGUGGAUCGUGAUUAUCAAGAGCGAAGUGAAAGGUCAUUAGGAUGGUGAUGUUCUUGUUGUGCUCAUGUCUUUGUAUUGAAUCAUAAUCAUAAAUAAUCAUAAUAUCAAAUAAAUAAAUAAAUAAAUAACAAGAACAUUACAUUGA
This is a long non-coding RNA of Vicia villosa (hairy vetch), 1981 nucleotides long. RefSeq lists it as uncharacterized. The transcript is spliced from 2 exons. The record is from RefSeq and is a predicted model, not a curated record. NCBI's taxonomy places the organism in Eukaryota, Viridiplantae, Streptophyta, Magnoliopsida, Fabales, Fabaceae.